CACGUAGGUGGUUUUGUAAGUCGGAUGUGAAAGCCCUGGGCUCAACCUGGGAAUUGCAUUCGAUACUGCUUAACUAGAGUAUGGUAGAGGGAAGUGGAAUUUCCGGUGUAGCGGUGAAAUGCGUAGAUAUCGGAAGGAACACCAGUGGCGAAGGCGACUUCCUGGGCCAAUACUGACACUGAGGUGCGAAAGCGUGGGUAGCAAACA
This 207-nucleotide ribosomal RNA is filed under the name uncultured bacterium. RNAcentral's name for it is "partial 16S ribosomal RNA". It matches the Rfam family "Bacterial small subunit ribosomal RNA", at positions 568 to 774 of the family's 1533-position model. The record is from RNAcentral.